UAGCUAUGGAUACGUGCGCGAGAUUCCAGCACGUACGUGAGGCAGAACCAAUUUGUCAAUUUCAUGCCAUAAUUUUUUAUUGUGGUUGUUUUAUUGUGGUUGUACACUGUGAAAUAUACACACACCAAACAAGCAGUGUAUUUUCAACUUUGUCACCUAAAUUGCAGAAUUUGAAGAAUAAAAAAAAUAGACACCCUAAAUUAUGGCUAAAUAUUCCACAAAGAUGUAUAAUAUACUAUGUAAGAUCGUCUAGAUUGUCAGUUACAGAAUAAAUAAAUGACCUGUUCAGUUACAGCUAAGGUCACUGCUCCUUUAACUGCUUUAAAUAAGACUCUCUUACUUCCUUGUUUGACUUGUCGUCUCUUUCCCUUGUCUCAGUACCACGUUCCCUCCAGUCUAUAGUAGUGUAUGCUGUGUGUCGUGUGUGUACAAAUCUCCUGUUAAUACUUCUUUAUGUUCAGGAUGAAUGUUUUUCCCCACCAGGUUUAAUAACCCAGUCUCUCACACUGCAGGGUCAAUAUACAAGUAUAUUAAUAAAACUUUUACUCACUUCUGCUUUUCUCUUUCACUUACAUAAAAAAAUCCCUCCAAAAAAUGGUGACGUCACAAUAAGAGCAAGCAGCAUGUUCCUGCUGGGGUUCAGUCUGCUGUAGAGUCUGGAUUUUUGAAGACAACAUAAAGCUCAAGAUGUAUGUAAGUGCAGGGCUCCAGACUGCGCCUAAUAUAGGCGCAUUUGCGACUAAAAAUAUUAAUUUGCGACAAUGGCGACCAAUCAAAUUUACACGUUAUGAUUAUAUAAUUUUUACCUUAUGUGUGUGUUCUGUGAACAGUAGCCUAUCAUAUAAUUUGUGUUGACGUAAUAAAAUGAGAUGCUGCGCGUGAACAUUUCACUGAGUUAGUCACCUUUCCGAGCCAGAAAAACUGUCAAAACGAAAAAAUAUACGAGUUUUUUAAACAAUCCUCAUCGAGCACCAACGCUGAUGACACACCUGCUUGUAAAAAAGCAGGCUCCAGCUGUGCCACCAGCUGCUGGAGAGAACGACACAGACACAGGAGAUCAUCUUUCCGUGUCAGUCAAUGAGCAUCGUGCCGAAAGACAUUUCAAAGCUUCUUGGAUUCAAGAGUUUUCAUGGCUGAGGUAUGAUCGUGAAACACGGAAAAUGUUUUGUGACUUUUGUUCCAGAGCGGGCAAAGAAAUAGCAGGGAAAACGGAUUUCAUUACAGGAACUAACCAUUUCAAAAAAGAGACCGUGAGAAAACACGGCGAUGGUCACAAGCAUAAAAAUGCUCAUGAUCACUUCCGCUCAACUCACUGAGCCGUAACAACGAGGUAACAGGCUGAAGUUUCUGUCCCUCAAUACGGACAUUUAAACUCUGAGUAAUAUUUAAACAUCUGACUGGAUUCUCCAUAUCUAUUAUUCCAUUUACACUGAGUUAUUUAUAUAGUAUCAUGUGUAUGUUUCCAGGCUGAUCUGCUCUUCCUGUCUGAGAUUCAAGUGUUGCAUGAUAUUUCUGCUCUGCACUUGACUAAGGACCAGGCUCCUGAUCUCUUCUCCCUGGAGCUUGCCGGUAUGGAGGAACUCUCCCAGCGCUACGGGACGCUCGUGAGAUUCUGGUUGCCGCACUGCAGAAGUUUGCUGAUGACGUCUACGGCGUUUAUGGCAGCAAUGCAGUGGUGGAGGUGGUGACGGUGAAGACGUUCGAGACGCCGCUGAGCAGGAAGACGCGCUCCAUCCUGGAGGCUAAGCAGAUGAAAAAAAAUCCCUCC
Tachysurus vachellii is the source of this 1768-nucleotide RNA transcript. It is a transcript of the gene named renin receptor-like, with no coding region annotated. Lineage: Eukaryota; Metazoa; Chordata; Actinopteri; Siluriformes; Bagridae. The record is from RefSeq and is a predicted model, not a curated record. The transcript has 4 exons.